CUGGGAAGGUGAUGGGCACAGUUCUGACCAUGUUGGACUUGAAACCACUUGGACCAAAUUGACGGGAGGGGCAGCUGGGGACCCUGUAUGUGGUUCAAAGCUCAGUGAAGAGAUUGGGCUGGAGACACUGAUUGAAGAUUUAUCAGCAUUUGAAUGAAUGAUGGCUCUGGAAAGAGGGCUUCCCUGUGGCUCAGAAGGUAAAGGAUCUGUUUGCAAUGCAGGAGACCCUGGUUCAAUCCUGGCAUCAGGAAGUUCCCCUGGAGAAGGGCAGGGUGACCCACUCCAGGAUUCUUGCCUGGAGAAUCCCAGGGACAGAGGAGUCUGGAGGCUACAGUCCAUGGGGUCGCAGGAGUUGGACACGACUGAGCGGGUAACACUUCACUCUCUGGAAAGAGGAGGCCAGGAGAGUGAGCUCCACAGAGGGCAGGCCAGGGACGCCCCUUUGUCUGCGAGCAGAGACACCCAGCUGCGUGCGGGGAAGGCGAGGACAAGCUGGGCUUCAGGCACAGGUGGAUCCAGGGCACGAGUGCAGACUCAGCAAAAAGCAAAACCAAGCCGCCCCAGGACACCCGAUUCCAGCUGAAUUUCAGAUGAAGAAAGUAGGCCUGAGGCAUGUGGUCCUGGGGGACAGAGGCCGCGAGGCUGAGCCCUCGAAGAUGGAAAGUCGAUGCCAGUGAUCACAGAGGACGCAGGAGAGGACUGAAUGGCUGCUGCUCCGAGAGCUGUUGUUAAAUUUAAACUUGGCAGAAAAUUAGCCACCAUGGAAAUUCAUA
Long non-coding RNA from Bos indicus x Bos taurus (hybrid cattle), 773 nucleotides. Lineage: Eukaryota; Metazoa; Chordata; Mammalia; Artiodactyla; Bovidae. The record is from Ensembl.